Long non-coding RNA from Dermochelys coriacea (leatherback sea turtle), 1531 nucleotides. RefSeq lists it as uncharacterized. Lineage: Eukaryota; Metazoa; Chordata; Testudines; Dermochelyidae. The transcript has 4 exons. The record is from RefSeq and is a predicted model, not a curated record.
UUAUAUUGGCGGUUGCCAUGCCCUGGCUAUAUGCUUUGGCUUUCCUGGACUAUUCGCUGUGGGAAGAACAUGUCAUUUGUAUAUUGUGCAUUUCUUCCUUCUUACUUCCUAGAUGCAGAACAACAAGAGCCACAUCCCCAAAUUCCUGUUCCAGGCCCUAGAGUAGCUGGAAAGCUCACAGACAACAAUAAGACAUUCUGCAGCCUUGUUCAUUGGAAAUACUAUCCGCCAUUACUGCAAUUUGUUGUCUGAAACAGUGAAUGAAGAUGACAUCUCCCUCCUGUAUGACGCUUUUCAGGAAGUGCCUUUGAAAUCAGACAGGACCACGUGGUACAUCCUCAGCAGACAUUAUAAAUGGUUGCAGAAGCUUGUAAAUCUCAUGUCGGGUUCUGCAUUCGACUAGGGAACCGGGACCGACACAGAAGACCUUUUUGUCCUGCUAUGACAUCUAGAGGCGAACAGGAGCCAAUUGAGCCCACCACUGAUCCCAUCUCUUGUGAGAUGGCAAAGCAGCUGUUGCAUGGGAAUGAGGAGACAGAAGAGGCAGAGCAGCAUGUGCCAGGGUGUACCAACCCCACAUAACCCCACAGUCUAGGCGGAGGAAGCCAAGCCCCUCCCCAGCCCUGCCGGACAUGCUCCAACUGGAGCACCCGUGUGAAAGGGAGCAGCUCAGCUCAGGCUAGGCAGACUGCUGAAAAUGGAGGAUGCACUCUGUAGGCUCCAGUCCAGAAGCAGCUGAAGCCCCUGACUGCAGAGCCCCAAGGCGUCGAGACCCAGCCGAGUCCCCAGGUGCCUGCAGACGUGCAAGGGAGAUCGGAGUCUCUGGGAGUUUCCCAUGCUGGGAGCCCUGAGACACCCAGCCCAUGGCCUAGAGACAUCUUGUAGGAAGUAACCUGGGUGAACUAGCCAUUGUCAUGCUGAGUGACAUCAGCAUGUUCUGGUUGGAUCCCCACUGACUCAAUAGCAAACACAUUGGCCAUGGACAAGGCCCUGGGCUAGGGCAAGGGGGAGUAAGGAGAGUCUGGGUCCCCCUGCCCUGGCUGCCAUCCAUCCGUGAGUGGCCGCCCACCUCCCCAGUGUGCCACUAGACUGCACAGCCCCAAGAGGAGGGGCAACCAUCUUGUCUCUGAACUCUCAGCCAAACAGCCCGGCACUGAAGGAUGGCUGCACGGACUCUGGCCAUUGGGCCACACAGCCCCGAUCGAGAGGGCAGCCGCAAGGACUCUGGUUGUUGGGCCACACAGCCGUGACGGAGAGGACAGCUACACGGACUCUGGCCAUUGGGCCACACAGCCCCGGUGAAGAGGAUGGCCACACGGACUCUGGCUGUUGGGCCACAGAGCCCCGCCAUAGAGGACAGCCACACGGACUCUUUUCUUUGGGCCGUACAGCCCCAACGGAGAGGACUGCUGCACUGACUCUGGGUGUUGGUCCACACAGCCCUGAGUGGGAGGGCAGCCAUUUUGACUCUGGCCAUAAGGCCAUACCACCCUGAGGCUAAGGGCAGUUAUUUAGUUUCAGCCAUGGGACC